CUUUCAACAACGGAUCUCUUGGUUCUGGCAUCGAUGAAGAACGCAGCGAAAUGCGAUAAGUAAUGUGAAUUGCAGAAUUCAGUGAAUCAUCGAAUCUUUGAACGCACAUUGCGCCCCUCGGCAUUCCGGGGGG
RNAcentral lists this ribosomal RNA (133 nucleotides) under Miriquidica instrata. RNAcentral's name for it is "5.8S ribosomal RNA". It matches the Rfam family "5.8S ribosomal RNA", at positions 3 to 135 of the family's 154-position model. Rfam says of the family: 5.8S ribosomal RNA (5.8S rRNA) is a component of the large subunit of the eukaryotic ribosome. It is transcribed by RNA polymerase I as part of the 45S precursor that also contains 18S and 28S rRNA. The record is from RNAcentral. Lineage: Eukaryota; Fungi; Ascomycota; Lecanoromycetes; Lecanorales; Lecanoraceae.